This 499-nucleotide ribosomal RNA is filed under the name uncultured Glomeromycotina. RNAcentral describes it as "partial small subunit ribosomal RNA". It matches the Rfam family "Eukaryotic small subunit ribosomal RNA", at positions 591 to 1092 of the family's 1831-position model. The record is from RNAcentral. Lineage: Eukaryota; Fungi; Glomeromycota.
CCAAUAGCGUAUAUUAAAGUUGUUGCAGUUAAAAAGCUCGUAGUUGAAUUUCGGGAUCAGUUGGUCGGUCGUGCCUCGGUACGUACUGGUCAAAUUGAUUCCUACCUUCUGACGAACCACGAUGUCAUUAAUUUGGUGUCGCGGGAAAUCAGGACUGUUACUUUGAAAAAAUUAGAGUGUUUAAAGCAGGCUCGCGCUUGAAUACAUUAGCAUGGAAUAAUGAAAUAGGACGUUUGAUUCUAUUUUGUUGGUUUCUAGGAUCGACGUAAUGAUUAAUAGGGAUAGUUGGGGGCAUUAGUAUUCAAUUGUCAGAGGUGAAAUUCUUGGAUUUAUUGAAGACUAACUACUGCGAAAGCAUUUGCCAAGGAUGUUUUCAUUAAUCAAGAACGAAAGUUAGGGGAUCGAAGACGAUCAGAUACCGUCGUAGUCCUAACCAUAAACUAUGCCGACUAGGGAUCGGAUGAUGUUAAUUUUUUAAUGACUCAUUCGGCGCCUUACG